AGUCGAACGAUGAAGCCGAAGCUUGCUUUGGUGGAUUAGUGGCGAACGGGUGAGUAACACGUGAGUAACCUGCCCCUGACUCUGGGAUAAGCCUGGGAAACUGGGUCUAAUACCGGAUAUGACUGCGGAACGCAUGUUCUGUGGUGGAAAGAUUUAUCGGUUGGGGAUGGACUCGCGGCCUAUCAGCUUGUUGGUGAGGUAAUGGCUCACCAAGGCGACGACGGGUAGCCGGCCUGAGAGGGUGACCGGCCACACUGGGACUGAGACACGGCCCAGACUCCUACGGGAGGCAGCAGUGGGGAAUAUUGCACAAUGGGCGAAAGCCUGAUGCAGCGACGCCGCGUGAGGGAUGACGGCCUUCGGGUUGUAAACCUCUUUCAGUAGGGAAGAAGCGAGAGUGACGGUACCUGCAGAAGAAGCGCCGGCUAACUACGUGCCAGCAGCCGCGGUAAUACGUAGGGCGCAAGCGUUAUCCGGAUUUAUUGGGCGUAAAGAGCUCGUAGGCGGUUUGUCGCGUCUGCCGUGAAAGUCCGAGGCUCAACCUCGGAUCUGCGGUGGGUACGGGCAGACUAGAGUGAUGUAGGGGAGACUGGAAUUCCUGGUGUAGCGGUGAAAUGCGCAGAUAUCAGGAGGAACACCGAUGGCGAAGGCAGGUCUCUGGGCAUUUACUGACGCUGAGGAGCGAAAGCAUGGGGAGCGAACAGGAUUAGAUACCCUGGUAGUCCAUGCCGUAAACGUUGGGCACUAGGUGUGGGGGACAUUCCACGUUUUCCGCGCCGUAGCUAACGCAUUAAGUGCCCCGCCUGGGGAGUACGGCCGCAAGGCUAAAACUCAAAGGAAUUGACGGGGGCCCGCACAAGCGGCGGAGCAUGCGGAUUAAUUCGAUGCAACGCGAAGAACCUUACCAAGGCUUGACAUGUUCCAGACCGGGCUAGAGAUAGUCCUUCCCUUCGGGGCUGGUUCACAGGUGGUGCAUGGUUGUCGUCAGCUCGUGUCGUGAGAUGUUGGGUUAAGUCCCGCAACGAGCGCAACCCUCGUUCCAUGUUGCCAGCACGUAGUGGUGGGGACUCAUGGGAGACUGCCGGGGUCAACUCGGAGGAAGGUGGGGAUGACGUCAAAUCAUCAUGCCCCUUAUGUCUUGGGCUUCACGCAUGCUACAAUGGCCGGUACAAUGGGUUGCGAUACUGUGAGGUGGAGCUAAUCCCUAAAAGCCGGUCUCAGUUCGGAUUGGGGUCUGCAACUCGACCCCAUGAAGUCGGAGUCGCUAGUAAUCGCAGAUCAGCAACGCUGCGGUGAAUACGUUCCCGGGCCUUGUACACACCGCCCGUCAAGUCACGAAAGUUGGUAACACCCGAAGCCGAUGGCCUAACC
RNAcentral lists this ribosomal RNA (1371 nucleotides) under Arthrobacter sp. 8A18S61. RNAcentral's name for it is "16S ribosomal RNA". It matches the Rfam family "Bacterial small subunit ribosomal RNA". Lineage: Bacteria; Bacillati; Actinomycetota; Actinomycetes; Micrococcales; Micrococcaceae. The record is from RNAcentral.